This 263-nucleotide ribosomal RNA is filed under the name uncultured bacterium. RNAcentral describes it as "partial 16S ribosomal RNA". It matches the Rfam family "Bacterial small subunit ribosomal RNA", at positions 794 to 1055 of the family's 1533-position model. The record is from RNAcentral.
GUCACGCCCUAAACGAUGUCAACUAGGUGUUGGUGGGUAAACCAUUAGUACCGGAGCUAACGCGUGAAGUUGACCGCCUGGGGAGUACGGCCGCAAGGUUAAAACUCAAAGGAAUUGACGGGGACCCGCACAAGCGGUGGAUGAUGUGGAUUAAUUCGAUGCAACGCGAAAAACCUUAACCUACCCUUGACAUGUUCAGGAGCCUGAAGAGAUUUGGGUGUGCCCGAAAGGGAACUGGAGCACAGGUGCUGCAUGGCUGUCGU